RNAcentral lists this ribosomal RNA (505 nucleotides) under uncultured bacterium. RNAcentral describes it as "partial 16S ribosomal RNA". It matches the Rfam family "Bacterial small subunit ribosomal RNA", at positions 28 to 507 of the family's 1533-position model. The record is from RNAcentral.
GACGAACGCUGGCGGCGUGCCUAAUACAUGCCAGUAGAACGCACAGUUUAUACCGUAGCUUGCUCCACCAUAAACUGUGAGUUGCGAACGGGUGAGUAACGCGUAGGUAACCUGCCUGGUAGCGGGGGAUAACUAUUGGAAACGAUAGCUAAUACCGCAUAAUAUUGAUUAUUGCAUGAUAAUUGAUUGAAAGAUGCUAUUGCAUCACUACCAGAUGGACCUGCGUUGUAUUAGCUAGUAGGUGAGGUAACGGCUCACCUAGGCGACGAUACAUAGCCGACCUGAGAGGGUGAUCGGCCACACUGGGACUGAGACACGGCCCAGACUCUUACGGGAGGCAGCAGUAGGGAAUCUUCGGCAAUGGACGAAAGUCUGACCGAGCAACGCCGCGUGAGUGAAGAAGGGUUUCGGAUCGUAAAGCUCUGUUGUAAGAGAAGAACGGGUGUGAGAGUGGAAAGUUCACACUGUGACGGUAUCUUACCAGAAAGGGACGGCUAACUACGUG